UACGUAGGUGGCAAGCGUUGUCCGGAUUUACUGGGCGUAAAGAGCGCGCAGGCGGUCGUUCAAGUCGCGUGUGAAAGCCCCCGGCUCAACUGGGGAGGGUCACGCGAUACUGAUCGACUCGAAGGCAGGAGAGGGUAGUGGAAUUCCCGGUGUAGUGGUGAAAUGCGCAGAUAUCAGGAGGAACACCAAUGGCGAAGGCAGCUCGCUGGGACGGUACUGACGCUGAGACGCGAAAGCGUGGGGAGCAAACAGG
This 253-nucleotide ribosomal RNA is filed under the name uncultured bacterium. RNAcentral's name for it is "partial 16S ribosomal RNA". It matches the Rfam family "Bacterial small subunit ribosomal RNA", at positions 524 to 776 of the family's 1533-position model. The record is from RNAcentral.